Daphnia carinata is the source of this 3044-nucleotide RNA transcript. RefSeq lists it as uncharacterized. The transcript has 4 exons. The record is from RefSeq and is a predicted model, not a curated record. NCBI's taxonomy places the organism in Eukaryota, Metazoa, Arthropoda, Branchiopoda, Diplostraca, Daphniidae.
GGAAAGUUUGCAAAGGUGCAAAGGUAUUUUAUUAUCUGAAGAAUUCAUGGUGUAUUCUAAGAAGAAUUAUGUUACGAAUACAGCAUAAUUAAUGGGCGAAAACGUCCAUCGUCAGCUGGAGAAAAGGUUACCCAUAACCGAACCGCCAAUAUUGAUAGUAUUUUCGCCUGUUACCAUCCCAGAAGAACUACCCCCAAUGUUGAUUCCGCCCGUGCUGGCCGCAUGCGAACUUCCGCCGAUGUUAACUGCGCUGCCACUUGAUGAACUUCCUCCUUGGAAUGAACCUCCGCCGAUGUUAAUUGAACUGGCAGCUGAUGAACUGCUGGAAGCCGAUGAACUGCUGGAAGCCGACGAACUGCUGGAUGCCGACGAACUGCUGGAUGCCGAUGAACUUCCGACCUGUGCGAUGGCAGCCGACGAACUUGCGGCGGCGGAAUUACUUCCCAAUAUAGCUGCACCAGCAUGAAUUCCAACUGUGCUGAUUCCGGGCAAAUUUCCUCCAAGAUGACCUAUUCCAGUUCCAGUUUGGUCGACUCCAUUAUAACCGCUGGCGCCUCCAGAUGAACCUCCGGCAUUAACAACACCUCCAAUGUUGGCCGAUUGUCCUCCAAUAUUUACGAAAUUUCCUGUUUGCGAACUUCCUUCACUGCUGAUUGUACUGCCAGUUGAAGAUCCUCCUUGAUAAGAGCUUCCGCCAACGUUAAUGGUACCGGAACCCAAAGAACCUCCAACGUGAUUAACGCCGACUCCUGACGUACUAGCAUGAUUUAUUACUGCGCUGGAAGAUCCUGCUGCCGCAAAAUUACUGCCACUCCCAGACGAAGUAAUGCCAAAGUUGUUUCCACUUUGGCUGACUCCGUUUAAAUUUCCUCCUGAAUAUCCUGCGCCAACUUGAGUUUGACCUAAUCCAGCAUAACCGAUGCCACCUGUAGUGAUAAUACUUUCAGUGGUUGCGGAUUCUCCACUAGUUCCCAUGUACUCACCUGAUUGCGAGUUUCCGCCAGUGUUAAUUGUAUUGCCGCUUAGAGAUCCUCCUUGGUAAGAGCCUCCGCCAGCGCCAAUUCCUGAGGUACCUACGUUCACCUGAUUUGCAAGAUUGGCCGAAGAACUUGCGGCUGCGAAAUUACUGUUUGACGUAGCUGUGCCGAUGUUAACUCCACCUUGGUUGAUUCCAGACAAGCUUCCGCCAGGGUAAGGUGCACCGGAUUGAGACUGUCCGAAUCCAUUAUAGCCAUUGCCACUUCCGGACAAGGCAGUUACACCGAUGCUUGAAGAUCCGCCCAGGUUUACAUGACCUCCACCUGUGUUGAUUGGACCGGCGCUUGAAUAACUUCCUCCUCCGUAAGAGCUUCCAUCAAUGUUAAUUGUACCGGAUCCCAAAGAACCUCCAACCUGAUUGCUGCCGAUUCCAGACGUACCUGAACCCGCAAUGUUAGACGAACCUGCUGCUGCGUAAUUACUGCCAGAUGAAGCUGUUCCUAUAUUAAAUCCACCUGUGUUGAUUCCGAGAGUUCCUCCUCCGAGAUAAGCUCCACCGCUUUCGGAUUGGCCGAAUCCGUUAAAUCCGCCUCCAUAAAAAUUGCCUGUGGGAGCAAGUCCUCCCGCGUUAGCCGCUCCAAUAUUGCCGUAAUUCCCUGCCGCCGAACUUCCGCCAAUGUUAAUCACGCUGCCACUUGAUGAACCUUCUCCUUCGUAAGUGCUUCCACCAACAUUAAUUGUACCAGAUCCCAAAGAACCUCCGUUGUUAGCAGCUCCGAUUCCAGACGUACUUACACCGGCAUGAUUUGCUACACUGCUUGAAGAUCCAGCUGCUGAAUAACUACUUCCACUUCCGGAAGAAGCCGUGCCAAUAUUAACUCCGCCCUGAUUGAUUCCGGAGUUGACCGGUCCACAGGGAUAAUUUAGCCCGACUGGAGACUGACCUAUUCCAGCAUUUCCGCUUCCAGCCGAACCUCCUGCGCUACUAGAUUGCCCUCCGAACAUGACAUAACCUCCGCCGACAUUCAAACCUCCACUGUAACUAAAACCGCCAUUGUUAGGAUAAAUUGGCAUGCAGUAAUAUGCUACUCCGCCGUUAGUUGAAAUCGCGGCGUUAUUUGAAAUUCCGGCGCCAUUGGAAAUUCCGCCGUUAUUGACGAAUCCGCCGCUGUUGAAAUACCCUCGAUUUGUCUGGCCGACGAUGUCAGGUUCAUCGGAAGAAACAGCAGGGAGCGCCAUAGCGUCCGAUUUCGGAAGGCAGUUCUUAUCUUGAAGAAUACAGCAAGGGCAAUGAUGAAAUGAAGCCACCUUCUUGCGCUUUUAUAGGUUCAGAGAAUUCCAUAUGACUUGGUUCUCGUCCUAAAUCAACCCUCAUCAUGAAAGUUUCUGUGUCACGUCACAGAAGAGAAAGGGCAACUUUCCCCGCAAAGAAAAAACGGAAUUGAGGAAGGUCAGCUCCUACAUAUCUGGCCCAUCAACCCGGAAGAAGGAUGGCAGGCUAGAAACAAUCUAACAGGUCAUUGACCAUCGAUACUCGUUCAUAGGGCUGCAAGGAAGGAAAAAGAAAGACCACUGAAUGGUAAAAAAAGACGUAGAUGUUUUCGAGCGGAGAUGAACAAUUGAAGGUAAUUCAAGCAAAGCGCCAAGUAUACCAAACCAAGUACGAAUAUAGUUUAUCGACGGUCAAGUACUGCAGACAGGCGAAAUUAGAUGUUAUUCAUGUGAAUACGCGGAUGCUUGAUUUACAUCAAAAGCUUUUCAUUUGUUAAUAAUAACCAUUCUUCAUUAAUUAAGAACGAAAAAAGCCAAUUUUCUGAUAGCGAUUCUGUAUUUUAUUCACCUUGAAUAUCUCUUGGUCAAUUGCUUCACUACUACUUAUUGAGAUCACGUUUAGGGUUAGAUGAGGUAAAUUCAAGAUUCCGGAAAUCAGUGCAAACUUGGAAACAUUUGCUUAACGCGCAUUUGGAUUAUUGAAUGGAUAUGGGCCGCCUUACCCGUGGCGUUCGUAGCGGACGUUUGAUGAACCCUCCCAGGUCCUGCUCUCAGCUGAACCACAAACAGUGGGA